UGGUAGUGUAUUGGACAACCAUGGCGAUCACGGGUAACGGGGAAUUAGGGUUCGAUUCCGGAGAGGGAGCCUGAGAAAUGGCUACCACAUCUAAGGAAGGCAGCAGGCGCGUAAAUUACCCAAUCCUAAUUCAGGGAGGUAGUGACAAGAAAUAACAACUCGGGCCUCUUUUGAGGUUACGAGAUUGCAAUGAGGACAAUUUAAACCACUUAUCGAGUAACAAUUGGAGGGCAAGUCUGGUGCCAGCAACCGCGGUAAUUCCAGCUCCAAUAGCGUAUAUUAAAGUUGUUGCAGUUAAAAAGCUCGUAGUUGAAUUUCUGGCCGGUGCUGUCCUCGGCUCUCGCAGUCGGCUCAGUGCUUGGUCAUCCGUAUGGGAAGUUAGCUCGGCCUUUACUGGUCGGCUAGUGAAUCAUACACUUUACUUUGAAAAAAUUAGAGUGUUUCAGGCAGGCAAUUGCUUGGAUACUGCAGCAUGGAACAAUGGAAUAGGACUUUGACCUGUUUGUUGGUUUCUUGAGGUCAAAGUAAUGAUUAAUAGGGACAGUUGGGGGCAUUCGUAUUUAAUUGUCAGAGGUGAAAUUCUUGGAUUUAUUAAAGACGAACUUAUGCGAAAGCAUUUGCCAAGGAUGUUUUC
RNAcentral lists this ribosomal RNA (634 nucleotides) under uncultured ciliate. RNAcentral describes it as "SSU rRNA". It matches the Rfam family "Eukaryotic small subunit ribosomal RNA", at positions 326 to 971 of the family's 1831-position model. Lineage: Eukaryota; Ciliophora. The record is from RNAcentral.